Molecule: ribosomal RNA, 1372 nt
Filed under: uncultured bacterium
Lineage: Bacteria
Description: bacterial SSU rRNA
Rfam family: Bacterial small subunit ribosomal RNA
Source: RNAcentral
GAUGAACGCUGGCGGCGUGCCUAAUACAUGCAAGUCGAGCGAACGGACGAGAAGCUUGCUUCUCUGAUGUUAGCGGCGGACGGGUGGGUAACACGUGGAUAACCUACCUAUAAGACUGGGAUAACUUCGGGAAACCGGAGCUAAUACCGGAUAAUAUUUUGAACCGCAUGGUUCAAAAGUGAAAGACGGUCUUGCUGUCACUUAUAGAUGGAUCCGCGCUGCAUUAGCUAGUUGGUAAGGUAACGGCUUACCAAGGCAACGAUGCAUAGCCGACCUGAGAGGGUGAUCGGCCACACUGGAACUGAGACACGGUCCAGACUCCUACGGGAGGCAGCAGUAGGGAAUCUUCCGCAAUGGGCGAAAGCCUGACGGAGCAACGCCGCGUGAGUGAUGAAGGUCUUCGGAUCGUAAAACUCUGUUAUUAGGGAAGAACAUAUGUGUAAGUAACUGUGCACAUCUUGACGGUACCUAAUCAGAAAGCCACGGCUAACUACGUGCCAGCAGCCGCGGUAAUACGUAGGUGGCAAGCGUUAUCCGGAAUUAUUGGGCGUAAAGCGCGCGUAGGCGGUUUUUUAAGUCUGAUGUGAAAGCCCACGGCUCAACCGUGGAGGGUCAUCGGAAACUGGAAAACUUGAGUGCAGAAGAGGAAAGUGGAAUUCCAUGUGUAGCGGUGAAAUGCGCAGAGAUAUGGAGGAACACCAGUGGCGAAGGCGACUUUCUGGUCUGUAACUGACGCUGAUGUGCGAAAGCGUGGGGAUCAAACAGGAUUAGAUACCCUGGUAGUCCACGCCGUAAACGAUGAGUGCUAAGUGUUAGGGGGUUUCCGCCCCUUAGUGCUGCAGCUAACGCAUUAAGCACUCCGCCUGGGGAGUACGACCGCAAGGUUGAAACUCAAAGGAAUUGACGGGGACCCGCACAAGCGGUGGAGCAUGUGGUUUAAUUCGAAGCAACGCGAAGAACCUUACCAAAUCUUGACAUCCUUUGACAACUCUAGAGAUAGAGCCUUCCCCUUCGGGGGACAAAGUGACAGGUGGUGCAUGGUUGUCGUCAGCUCGUGUCGUGAGAUGUUGGGUUAAGUCCCGCAACGAGCGCAACCCUUAAGCUUAGUUGCCAUCAUUAAGUUGGGCACUCUAAGUUGACUGCCGGUGACAAACCGGAGGAAGGUGGGGAUGACGUCAAAUCAUCAUGCCCCUUAUGAUUUGGGCUACACACGUGCUACAAUGGACAAUACAAAGGGCAGCGAAACCGCGAGGUCAAGCAAAUCCCAUAAAGUUGUUCUCAGUUCGGAUUGUAGUCUGCAACUCGACUACAUGAAGCUGGAAUCGCUAGUAAUCGUAGAUCAGCAUGCUACGGUGAAUACGUUCCCGGGUCU